This is a long non-coding RNA of Canis lupus familiaris (dog), 1400 nucleotides long. RefSeq lists it as uncharacterized. The record is from RefSeq and is a predicted model, not a curated record. The transcript has 5 exons. Lineage: Eukaryota; Metazoa; Chordata; Mammalia; Carnivora; Canidae.
UGGAUCACUUCUGCCAGUUUAAUGAUGGUCACUUAAGCUCUGACACAUGCUCUGUUUCCUACAGGUGGAAGGAACCAAAUUCCUAUCCAAGUUAGCAUCAACUGGAGGAGCAUUAACAGUUGCGUAGUUCUCUCUAUAUAAAAUAAGUCAUGUAAUCUUCAGGAUACCUCUCAGAGGUUCAAAUGUCUGUGAUUAUUUGAUGGACCAGUCAUCACCCCAUAAAAUCACAUAUAAUUACAUCUUAUUACACAGUUACUAUGUGCCAAUUCCUCUGUGAAGAGCUCCAGCUGCACUACUGCAUCACAUCCUCACACUAUCCCUAUAACAUAGACACUAUGGUUAUCCUGACUUGACAGACAAGAGAUAGAAGACUUUAGGGCCAAGUAGCUUAGGCAGAGUCACAUAAGUAGUAAAGUAAGGCUCAGACUCUAACCUGAGCAGUCAGACCCCAAAGUCUAUGGCCUAACUUCAAUUUAAAUUAUUUAAUCAACUAUUAGUUUUUAAUAAUUUCCAAUAUAUCCUCACUACUGGGAUACCCUAUAAGUAGACCCUGGGAAAAAGGUAGAAGUGGAAGUAUUGUAUUUGAUUGGGAAUCCCAGAAAAUGCCAAAAGGAAGGGGUAGGACAUUGAGGCAGGGAAGAGAAGGAGAAGAAUCAUAUAAGAUGUAUCUCUUAUUACCAAUAUGAGAGACUAGGGUUCAAUGGCAGUUAGAGAACUCUGGGAAAUACCAUGUAAAAUGUGUGCACAGGCAAGAGAGCUGGGGUAUUUUACACCAAUUCCUAGCAGUUAGAGAGGUCAAGGGUUGUUCACAAGGAAUAUGAGCAUGUGGACAGAGCGGGCUCUGGUGGCCAGAGAAAGCCCUUAGGCAAGGAGCUCUUCGGACUGGAGGUGGGAGCCAGUGAGCCUGCAUGGAAACUAAAGGCCUUGGAGAUCUCCUGGCAACCAUGAACUACUUUUUGUCUCUAUGGAUUUACCUUUCCUGGACAUUUUACAUAAAUGAAUCACACAAUAUGUGGUUGUCUACAUAAUUGAGAAAGUGCCUCUCAAAACGGCUAAGGUUGCAGAAAGGAAGUAAAAGCAAGAAAGAAAACCUGAUGGAAGGCAACAAGAAUAGGACAAUUGGCCAACCGGUCAACCAUGCCUUAAAUUUUGGACGCUGUUUGUAGCUGAACCACCACCCCCCACUCCUGCCAAUUAAAGGACACAAAGAAAGGGAACUGAGAAGAGAGACUGGGGGGCAGGGUAUUCAAAUCAUUGUCUUUAGUUCAAAAAGUGAGCCACAUGCUCUCAAGGACUGGAUAAGGAAGGUGUACUCAUGGUUGUGGUUCAGAAGCCUGAGAGCUUUGGUUUAAAAAUAGGCGAACUGAAAUAAACAUUGAGAGCAAGCUACUCAGAUGGCA